UUAUCUUUUCAGUCUGAUUGUCUGCUCCUG
This 30-nucleotide non-coding RNA is filed under the name Mus musculus (house mouse). Lineage: Eukaryota; Metazoa; Chordata; Mammalia; Rodentia; Muridae. The record is from RNAcentral.